AUUGAACGCUGGCGGCAGGCCUAACACAUGCAAGUCGAGCGGAUGAAGGGAGCUUGCGCCUGGAUUCAGCGGCGGACGGGCGGGUAAUGCCUAGGAAUCUGCCUGGUAUUGGGGGAUAACGUCCGUAAACGGGAGCUAAUACCGCAUCCGUCCAGAGGGUGAAAGGGGGGGAUCAUCGGACCACACGCUUUCUGAUGACCCUAGGCCGGAUUAGCUAGUUGGUGGGGUAACGGCCUACCAAGGCGACGAUCCGUAACUGGUCUGAGAGGAUGAUCAGUCACACUGGAACUGAGACACGGUCCAGACUCCUACGGGAGGCAGCAGAGGGGAAUCUUGCGCAAUGGGCGAAAGCCUGAUGCAGCCAUGCCGCGUGUGUGAUGAAGGUCUUCGGAUUGUAAAGCACUUUAAGUUGGGAAGAACAAAAGUGAGAGAAUCCCUGCCCGUCUUGACGUUACCAACAGAAAAAGCACCGGCUAACUUCGUG
RNAcentral lists this ribosomal RNA (484 nucleotides) under uncultured bacterium. Its description in RNAcentral is "partial 16S ribosomal RNA". It matches the Rfam family "Bacterial small subunit ribosomal RNA", at positions 30 to 507 of the family's 1533-position model. The record is from RNAcentral.